GUGAACGCUGGCGGUAGGCCUAACGCAUGCAAGUCGAACGGCAGCACAGUAAGAGCUUGCUCUUACGGGUGGCGAGUGGCGGACGGGUGAGGAAUACAUCGGAAUCUACUUUUUCGUGGGGGAUAACGUAGGGAAACUUACGCUAAUACCGCAUACGACCUACGGGUGAAAGCAGGGGAUCUUCGGACCUUGCGCGAUUGAAUGAGCCGAUGUCGGAUUAGCUAGUUGGCGGGGUAAAGGCCCACCAAGGCGACGAUCCGUAGCUGGUCUGAGAGGAUGAUCAGCCACACUGGAACUGAGACACGGUCCAGACUCCUACGGGAGGCAGCAGUGGGGAAUAUUGGACAAUGGGCGCAAGCCUGAUCCAGCCAUACCGCGUGGGUGAAGAAGGCCUUCGGGUUGUAAAGCCCUUUUGUUGGGAAAGAAAAGCAGCAGGUUAAUACCCCGCUGUUCUGACGGUACCCAAAGAAUAAGCACCGGCUAACUUCGUG
RNAcentral lists this ribosomal RNA (491 nucleotides) under uncultured bacterium. Its description in RNAcentral is "partial 16S ribosomal RNA". It matches the Rfam family "Bacterial small subunit ribosomal RNA", at positions 29 to 507 of the family's 1533-position model. The record is from RNAcentral.